Molecule: ribosomal RNA, 408 nt
Filed under: uncultured bacterium
Lineage: Bacteria
Description: partial 16S ribosomal RNA
Rfam family: Bacterial small subunit ribosomal RNA
Source: RNAcentral
GACGAACGCUGACGGCGUGCUUAACACAUGCAAGUCGAAGGGAGUGGCGAACGGGUGAGUAACACGUGAGUAACCUGCCCUUUUCUUUGGGAUAAGACUGGGAAACUGGGUCUAAUACUGGAUGGCUUGGGAUGGGCUCGCGGCUUGUCGGGUUGUUGGUGGGGUGAUGGCUUACCAAGGCUUUGACGGGUGGCCGGCCUGAGGGGGUGGUCGGGCACGCUGGGACUGAGAUACGUCCCAGACUCCUACGGGAGGCAGCAGUGGGGGAUAUUGCACAAUGGACGAAAGGCUGAUGCAGCGACGUCGUGUGGGGGAUGAAGGCCUUCGGGUUGUAAACUCCUUUCGCCCGCGGAAUGGUAGUGGGUAAAGAAGCGCCGGCUAACUACGUGCCAGCCGCCGCGGUAAUAC